UACGGAGGGGGCUAGCGUUGUUCGGAAUUACUGGGCGUAAAGCGCACGUAGGCGGCUUUGUAAGUUAGAGGUGAAAGCCCGGGGCUCACCCCCGGAAGUGCAUUGGAUACUGGCGGACUCGAGUCCCGGAGAGGAGGGUGGAAUUCCUGGUGUAGCGGUGAAAUGCGUAGAUAUCAGGAGGAACACCGGUGGCGAAGGCGGCCCUCUGGACGGUGACUGACGCUGAGACGCGAAAGCGUGGGGAGCAAACAGG
RNAcentral lists this ribosomal RNA (253 nucleotides) under uncultured bacterium. Its description in RNAcentral is "partial 16S ribosomal RNA". It matches the Rfam family "Bacterial small subunit ribosomal RNA", at positions 524 to 776 of the family's 1533-position model. The record is from RNAcentral.